Molecule: ribosomal RNA, 119 nt
Filed under: Rhinopithecus roxellana (golden snub-nosed monkey)
Lineage: Eukaryota; Metazoa; Chordata; Mammalia; Primates; Cercopithecidae
Source: RNAcentral
AUCUGCAGCCAUACCACCCUGAAUGCGCCUGAUCUCGUCUGAUCUGGGAAGCUUAGCAGGUUCGGGCCCAUUUAGUACUUGGAUGGGAGACUGCCUGGAAAUACCAGUCGUUACAGGUU